This 253-nucleotide ribosomal RNA is filed under the name uncultured bacterium. Its description in RNAcentral is "partial 16S ribosomal RNA". It matches the Rfam family "Bacterial small subunit ribosomal RNA", at positions 524 to 776 of the family's 1533-position model. The record is from RNAcentral.
UACGUAGGGCGCAAGCGUUGUCCGGAAUUAUUGGGCGUAAAGAGCUCGUAGGCGGCUUGUCACGUCUGCUGUGAAAUCCCGGGGCUCAACCCCGGGCGUGCAGUGGAUACGGGCUGGCUAGAGGCAGGCAGGGGAGAACGGAAUUCCUGGUGUAGCGGUGAAAUGCGCAGACAUCAGGAGGAACACCGGUGGCGAAGGCGGAUCUCUGGGCCAUUACUGACGCUGAGGAGCGAAAGCGUGGGGAGCGAACAGG